Molecule: long non-coding RNA, 367 nt
Filed under: Anas platyrhynchos platyrhynchos (common mallard)
Lineage: Eukaryota; Metazoa; Chordata; Aves; Anseriformes; Anatidae
Description: lncRNA (ENSAPLG00000019193.1)
Source: RNAcentral
CACCUUUCUGCACUGUGGACUGCUUGUGCACUCUCCUUGAAGCAAUCUGAGCAGAAUGUUAUAUGAAAAAGGAGAGACUGCAUCGUAUUUCUGCCAUGCUGCUUGUCAGACAGAUCCAAAAAGCAAACUCUGACACUAUUGCGCUGUGACAGAAAUCAAGGAGAUCUCUGCAGACCAUAACCACUUGCUGAGGGGAGGUUAAAGUUGCUGAAAAUCCUAUUUGACCUUCUCAAUGGAGUUAAUGAGUCAGAAGACUUCCUGUGGAUAAUCCAAUGAGGUGGAUAAAAAGGUCCUGAACUACUUGGCAUGAAGUCAAUGCCAGAGAAUUCCCUUACCCUCUAAUCCCCACGAGCAGAACAGCACAAUC